UACAGAGGGUGCAAGCGUUGUUCGGAAUUACUGGGCGUAAAGGGCGCGUAGGCGGCACUGUUAGUCAGGCGUGAAAGUCCUGGGCUCAACCUGGGAACUGCGCUUGAUACGGCAGAGCUAGAGGAUGGAAGAGGGUCGCGGAAUUCCCAGUGUAGAGGUGAAAUUCGUAGAUAUUGGGAAGAACACCGGUGGCGAAGGCGGCGACCUGGUCCAUUACUGACGCUGAGGCGCGACAGCGUGGGGAGCAAACAGG
RNAcentral lists this ribosomal RNA (253 nucleotides) under uncultured bacterium. RNAcentral's name for it is "partial 16S ribosomal RNA". It matches the Rfam family "Bacterial small subunit ribosomal RNA", at positions 524 to 776 of the family's 1533-position model. The record is from RNAcentral.